AAGUCGAUGACGCUUGACCGCGCACGGGACGUCAAGAUGGAGCUUGUCACCAAGAGUGGCAAGACGAUCGUGCUGAAGCCAAAGGUAUCGCUCCAGGAUGGUGAAGUCAUCGACUCCAUGUUCAUGAGCAAGAAGGCUCUGCUGGCAUUCUAUGAGCAGCAGAUCGAGGACGCUUACAAGACCGGUGUGAUGUUCUCGCUGCACGUCA
Molecule: unclassified non-coding RNA, 208 nt
Filed under: Hevea brasiliensis (rubber tree)
Lineage: Eukaryota; Viridiplantae; Streptophyta; Magnoliopsida; Malpighiales; Euphorbiaceae
Source: RNAcentral